UUAAGUUAUUAAGGGCGCACGGUGGAUGCCUUGGCACUAGAAGCCGAUGAAGGACGUUACUAACGACGAUAUGCUUUGGGGAGCUGUAAGUAAGCUUUGAUCCAGAGAUUUCCGAAUGGGGAAACCCAGCAUGAGUUAUGUCAUGUUAUCGAUAUGUGAAUACAUAGCAUAUCAGAAGGCACACCCGGAGAACUGAAACAUCUUAGUACCCGGAGGAAGAGAAAGAAAAUUCGAUUCCCUUAGUAGCGGCGAGCGAAACGGGAAGAGCCCAAACCAACAAGCUUGCUUGUUGGGUUGUAGGACACUCUAUACGGAGUUACAAAGGACGACAUUAGACGAAUACAUCUGGAAAGAUGAAUCAAAGAAGGUAAUAAUCCUGUAGUCGAAAAUGUUGUCUCUCUUGAGUGGAUCCUGAGUACGUACGGAGCACGUGAAAUUCUGUCGGAAUCUGGGAGGACCAUAUCCUAAGGCUAAAUACUCUCUAGUGACCGAUAGUGAACCAGUACCGUGAGGGAAAGGUGAAAAGCACCCCGGAAGGGGAGUGAAAUAGAACCUGAAACCGUGUGCUUACAAGUAGUCAGAGCCCGUUAAUGGGUGAUGGCGUGCCUUUUGUAGAAUGAACCGGCGAGUUACGAUUUGAUGCAAGGUUAAGCAGUAAAUGUGGAGCCGUAGCGAAAGCGAGUCUGAAUAGGGCGUUUAGUAUUUGGUCGUAGACCCGAAACCAGGUGAUCUACCCUUGGUCAGGUUGAAGUUCAGGUAACACUGAAUGGAGGACCGAACCGACUUACGUUGAAAAGUGAGCGGAUGAACUGAGGGUAGCGGAGAAAUUCCAAUCGAACCUGGAGAUAGCUGGUUCUCUCCGAAAUAGCUUUAGGGCUAGCCUCAAGUGAUGAUUAUUGGAGGUAGAGCACUGUUUGGACGAGGGGCCCCUCUCGGGUUACCGAAUUCAGACAAACUCCGAAUGCCAAUUAAUUUAACUUGGGAGUCAGAACAUGGGUGAUAAGGUCCGUGUUCGAAAGGGAAACAGCCCAGACCACCAGCUAAGGUCCCAAAAUAUAUGUUAAGUGGAAAAGGAUGUGGCGUUGCCCAGACAACUAGGAUGUUGGCUUAGAAGCAGCCAUCAUUUAAAGAGUGCGUAAUAGCUCACUAGUCGAGUGACACUGCGCCGAAAAUGUACCGGGGCUAAACAUAUUACCGAAGCUGUGGAUUGUCCUUUGGACAAUGGUAGGAGAGCGUUCUAAGGGCGUUGAAGCAUGAUCGUAAGGACAUGUGGAGCGCUUAGAAGUGAGAAUGCCGGUGUGAGUAGCGAAAGACGGGUGAGAAUCCCGUCCACCGAUUGACUAAGGUUUCCAGAGGAAGGCUCGUCCGCUCUGGGUUAGUCGGGUCCUAAGCUGAGGCCGACAGGCGUAGGCGAUGGAUAACAGGUUGAUAUUCCUGUACCACCUAUAAUCGUUUUAAUCGAUGGGGGGACGCAGUAGAUAGGCGAAGCGUGCGAUUGGAUUGCACGUCUAAGCAGUAAGGCUGAGUAUUAGGCAAAUCCGGUACUCGUUAAGGCUGAGCUGUGAUGGGGAGAAGACAUUGUGUCUUCGAGUCGUUGAUUUCACACUGCCGAGAAAAGCCUCUAGAUAGAAAAUAGGUGCCCGUACCGCAAACCGACACAGGUAGUCAAGAUGAGAAUUCUAAGGUGAGCGAGCGAACUCUCGUUAAGGAACUCGGCAAAAAUGACCCCGUAACUUCGGGAGAAGGGGUGCUCUUUAGGGUUAACGCCCAGAAGAGCCGCAGUGAAUAGGCCCAAGCGACUGUUUAUCAAAAACACAGGUCUCUGCUAAACCGUAAGGUGAUGUAUAGGGGCUGACGCCUGCCCGGUGCUGGAAGGUUAAGAGGAGUGGUUAGCUUCUGCGAAGCUACGAAUCGAAGCCCCAGUAAACGGCGGCCGUAACUAUAACGGUCCUAAGGUAGCGAAAUUCCUUGUCGGGUAAGUUCCGACCCGCACGAAAGGCGUAACGAUUUGGGCACUGUCUCAACGAGAGACUCGGUGAAAUCAUAGUACCUGUGAAGAUGCAGGUUACCCGCGACAGGACGGAAAGACCCCGUGGAGCUUUACUGUAGCCUGAUAUUGAAAUUCGGCACAGCUUGUACAGGAUAGGUAGGAGCCUUUGAAACGUGAGCGCUAGCUUACGUGGAGGCGCUGGUGGGAUACUACCCUAGCUGUGUUGGCUUUCUAACCCGCACCACUUAUCGUGGUGGGAGACAGUGUCAGGCGGGCAGUUUGACUGGGGCGGUCGCCUCCUAAAAGGUAACGGAGGCGCUCAAAGGUUCCCUCAGAAUGGUUGGAAAUCAUUCAUAGAGUGUAAAGGCAUAAGGGAGCUUGACUGCGAGACCUACAAGUCGAGCAGGGUCGAAAGACGGACUUAGUGAUCCGGUGGUUCCGCAUGGAAGGGCCAUCGCUCAACGGAUAAAAGCUACCCCGGGGAUAACAGGCUUAUCUCCCCCAAGAGUUCACAUCGACGGGGAGGUUUGGCACCUCGAUGUCGGCUCAUCGCAUCCUGGGGCUGUAGUCGGUCCCAAGGGUUGGGCUGUUCGCCCAUUAAAGCGGUACGCGAGCUGGGUUCAGAACGUCGUGAGACAGUUCGGUCCCUAUCCGUCGUGGGCGUAGGAAAGUUUAGUAGAGGAGCGUGUCCUUAGUUACGAGAGGACCGGGAGUGGACGAUACCUCUGGUGUACCAGUUGUCGUGCCAACGGCAUAGCUGGGUAGCUAUGUGUGGACGGGAUAAGUGCUGAAAGCAUCUAAGCAUGAAGCCCCCCUCAAGAUGAGAUUUCCCAACUUCGGUUAUAAGAUCCCUCAAAGAUGAUGAGGUUAAUAGGUUCGAGGUGGAAGCAUGGUGACAUGUGGAGCUGACGAAUACUAAUCGAUCGAAGACUUAAUCAA
RNAcentral lists this ribosomal RNA (2929 nucleotides) under Staphylococcus aureus subsp. aureus CIG1770. Its description in RNAcentral is "bacterial LSU rRNA". It matches the Rfam family "Bacterial large subunit ribosomal RNA". The record is from RNAcentral. Lineage: Bacteria; Bacillati; Bacillota; Bacilli; Caryophanales; Staphylococcaceae.